AGAGUUUGAUCCUGGCUCAGAACGAACGCUGGCGGCGUGCUUAACGCAUGCAAGUCGAACGGGACCUUCGGGUCUAGUGGCGGACGGGUGAGUAAUACAUAGGAAAUCUGCCUUUAAGUGGGGGACAACCAGCCGAAAGGUUGGCUAAUACCGCGUAAUGUAGUUAGUUGAAAUACUAAUUAAGAAAGAUUUAUCGCUUUUAGAGGAGCCUAUGCUUGAUUAGCUAGUUGGUGGGGUAAAAGCCUACCAAGGCGACGAUCAAUAGCUGGUCUGAGAGGACGAUCAGCCACACUGGGACUGAGACACGGCCCAGACUUCUACGGAAGGCAGCAGUGGGGAAUUUUCCGCAAUGGGCGCAAGCCUGACGGAGCGACGCCGCGUGGAGGAUGAAGUAUCUAGGUAUGUAAACUUCUGUAAGUGGGGACGAACACAAUGACGGUACCCACAAAGUAAGCAUCGGCUAACUACGUGCCAGCAGCCGCGGUAAUACGUAGGAUGCAAGCGUUGUUCGGAAUUACUGGGCGUAAAGAGUACGUAGGCGGUAUGGUAAGUCUGCUAUUAAAGACUGGAGCUUAACUUCAGGAAUGUAGUGGAAACUGCCAAACUAGAGGACAAUAGAGGAAGUGGGAAUUCUCAGUGUAGCGGUGAAAUGCGUAGAUAUUGGGAAGAACACCAGUGGCGAAAGCGCACUUCUGGGUUGUUACUGACGCUGAGGUACGAAAGCGUGGGGAGCAAACGGGAUUAGAUACCCCGGUAGUCCACGCUGUAAACGAUGGAUACUAGGUGUAGCCGGUCUCGACCCCGGCUGUGCCGCAGCUAACGCAUUAAGUAUCCCGCCUGGGGAGUAUGGCCGCAAGGUUGAAACUCAAAGGAAUUGACGGGGGCCCGCACAAGCGGUGGAGGAUGUGGUUUAAUUCGACGCAACGCGAAGAACCUUACCAAGGCUUGACAUCUACAGAAUCUGCUGGAAACAGUGGAGUGUUCGAAAGAAAACUGUAAGACAGGUGGUGCAUGGCUGUCGUCAGCUCGUGUCGUGAGAUGUUGGGUUAAGUCCCGCAACGAGCGCAACCCUCGAUGCUAGUUACCAUCAUUUAGUUGGGGACUCUAGCGUGACUGCCGGUGAUAAGCCGGAGGAAGGUGAGGACGACGUCAAGUCAUCAUGCCCCUUACGUCUUGGGCUACACACGUCCUACAAUGGCAUAGACAAAGGGCUGCAAGCUAGCAAUAGUGAGCGAAUCCCAUAAACUAUGUCUCAGUUCGGAUUGCAGGCUGCAACUCGCCUGCAUGAAGUUGGAAUCGCUAGUAACCGUAGAUCAGCACGCUACGGUGAAUACGUUCCCGGGCCCUGUACACACCGCCCGUCACACCACGAAAGUUUGUCAUACCCGAAACCGGUGAGCUAACCUUUUAGGAGGCAGCCGUCUAAGGUAGGGCCGAUGAUUGGGGUGAAGUCGUAACAAGGUA
RNAcentral lists this ribosomal RNA (1464 nucleotides) under metagenome. RNAcentral describes it as "bacterial SSU rRNA". It matches the Rfam family "Bacterial small subunit ribosomal RNA". The record is from RNAcentral.